Non-coding RNA from Jatropha curcas, 535 nucleotides. The record is from RefSeq and is a predicted model, not a curated record. Lineage: Eukaryota; Viridiplantae; Streptophyta; Magnoliopsida; Malpighiales; Euphorbiaceae.
CUAUGUCGGACUGGACAAGGACUAAUGAAUCCUUUGGCAUCAAGUAACGCAACCUAUAUAUUAUUGUAAUAGAGCGGUUGGUUUCCAUGGAUUUUCCAACUGCAAAACUGAAGAAACGGACAAGGUUUUCACUUUCCAAAAAUCCAGGAGGGGAGGGAAGGGAAGGGUAGGGAAGGUAUGGCUUGGUGCAAUCACUGUCUCCAAUUUUGCAGGACAUCUUGUGUUGCUAAUUUCAGGUGUUGUUUAGGGUGUGGGAAGGUUCUUGGUGAUCUUACUUGCAAGAAAAGAUCAAAGCUGAGAAUUUCAAAAUUUAAAAAAAUCAAAAGAAGAAAGAAUUGUUUUCCAACAAAAAUUAAAAAUUCAGCCAAGAAAACCUGAUUCAGCAGCAAGGCCCCAAUUCUUCGUCAACAUAACAAUUUCUAAAGAUUUCUUUUUUAUUUUUUAUUGUAUAAAUACGAAUAAUUGGGGCUUUUGGGAUUGUGUUCUGUUCAGUGGUCUUCCAAAAUAAUAAAUGAGCCUGACCAUAUUUUAUUCA